CGGCCAGCCAUGGAGCGCUCUGGGCCCAGCGAUGGUGGGUUUCAUGAAGCGAGUCCGGGCGGGGUGGGCCGUGUCGGGGGAGCUGGGGCGCCGCACUAACUAGGCCGCCUCUCUUUUCCUCUUGCUCCAGUGACAGGCUCAGACGCAUUGGGACCGGACCCGCAGCUUGCGGUCACCAUGGGCUUCACGGGGUUCGGUAAAAAACCUCGCACAUUUGACUUGGAAGCAAUGUUUGAACAAACUCGAAGAACAGCCGUGGAAAGAAGUCGCAAAACACUGGAAGCAAGAGAAAAAGAGGAAGAAAUGAACAGAGAGAAAGAAUUAAGAAGACAAAAUGAAGAUAUUGAGCCAGCAUCCUCAAGAUCAAAUGUGGUCAGAGAUUGCUCCGAAUCAUCUUCCAGAAUCCUGUUCACAAGAUUCCUGACUCCCAUGAGAUAACGCUGAAGCAUGGCACUAAAACAGUGUCUGCUUUGGGUCUGGAUCCCUCAGGUGCCCGUUUGGUGACA
Molecule: long non-coding RNA, 506 nt
Filed under: Pan troglodytes (chimpanzee)
Lineage: Eukaryota; Metazoa; Chordata; Mammalia; Primates; Hominidae
Description: long non-coding RNA NONPTRT014161
Source: RNAcentral